This 282-nucleotide ribosomal RNA is filed under the name uncultured bacterium. RNAcentral's name for it is "partial 16S ribosomal RNA". It matches the Rfam family "Bacterial small subunit ribosomal RNA", at positions 780 to 1058 of the family's 1533-position model. The record is from RNAcentral.
AGAUACCCGGGUAGUCCUAGCCGUAAACAAUGGAUACUAGGUGUUGAACAGAUCGACCUGUGCAGUACUAAAGCUAACGCGUUAAGUAUCCCGCCUGGGAAGUAUGCACGCAAGUGUGAAACUCAAAGGAAUUGACGGGGGCCCGCACAAGCGGUGGAGCAUGUGGUUUAAUUCGAUGCAACGCGAAGAACCUUACCAGGGUUUGACAUGAUACGAAUCUUUUUGAAAAAAGAGAUGUGCCUUUUUGGAACGUAUACACAGGUGGUGCAUGGCCGCCGUCAG